RNAcentral lists this ribosomal RNA (492 nucleotides) under uncultured bacterium. RNAcentral's name for it is "partial 16S ribosomal RNA". It matches the Rfam family "Bacterial small subunit ribosomal RNA", at positions 29 to 507 of the family's 1533-position model. The record is from RNAcentral.
AGUGAACGCUGGCGGUAGGCCUAACACAUGCAAGUCGAACGGCAGCACAGUAAGAGCUUGCUCUUACGGGUGGCGAGUGGCGGACGGGUGAGGAAUACAUCGGAAUCUACUUUUUCGUGGGGGAUAACGUAGGGAAACUUACGCUAAUACCGCAUACGACCUACGGGUGAAAGCAGGGGAUCUUCGGACCUUGCGCGAUUGAAUGAGCCGAUGUCGGAUUAGCUAGUUGGCGGGGAAAAGGCCCACCAAGGCGACGAUCCGUAGCUGGUCUGAGAGGAUGAUCGGCCACACUGGAACUGAGACACGGUCCAGACUCCUACGGGAGGCAGCAGUGGGGAAUAUUGGACAAUGGGCGCAAGCCUGAUCCAGCCAUACCGCGUGGGUGAAGAAGGCCUUCGGGUUGUAAAGCCCUUUUGUUGGGAAAGAAAAGCAGCAGGUUAAUACCCCGCUGUUCUGACGGUACCCAAAGAAUAAGCACCGGCUAACUUCGUG